RNAcentral lists this long non-coding RNA (809 nucleotides) under Numida meleagris (helmeted guineafowl). RNAcentral's name for it is "lncRNA (ENSNMEG00000020120.1)". The record is from RNAcentral. Lineage: Eukaryota; Metazoa; Chordata; Aves; Galliformes; Numididae.
AAAAGGUUUACAAUAUAGCAUCUCAAAUAUUUUCUGAUCAAGCAUCCCAUGCGUGCUAGGUCCCCAGCAAGUUCAGGAUGGUGAGUUCCAGAUAACGUUUCCUUCUGCAACUCUUAGACCUUUUAAAGCAAUUGCAGCACCUUUUGAACGAGCGAUGAAAUUCGUCCUUAUAAGGUGGAAAAGCUCCAUGUUGUGCUCCUGGAAGACUGGAAUGCAAGGAUGGCGAGGAUUGCCUCACAUGAGCCUCUUAUCUGAGAGAUUUGUGAUAAGACUGAAGAAGUUCGUGCGAUACAAGAAGAAUUUCCCUCUUAUGUCAAGGAACCCAGAGAUGUACAAGAGAAAGCCAGAUGCCACAUCUCCCCUUGCCUGGUCCAUGGACUGCAGCGAGAGCGGUUCCAAGCCGGGGGCUGUGAGGGAAGGACCACACACACACCCAGUCCGGGAGCAACACAGAGCCAGAGACACUCUCUGGCCAGGAGGUCACCAAGGAGGAAGAAAAAUAGAACCUGACUCCCUAGCUGGGCAGAGCUGCAGCGGCUUUUGUAUGGUGAGUGUGACUGAAAUGUGGUAAAAACACAAUCCAGUGUCAAGCAAGUAGAGAGGAUGAAUAAGACAGUGUUAGUAGAAUCGUGCUUUUUUGGCCUAAGUUACCUGAUCAAGAUUGGCCUGGCUCUGAGCAGGCAGACAGACCAGAUGUCCUCAGGGGUCCCUUACGACCUAAAUUAUCCUGUGAUACUAAAGAAUAACAGGCCUGCUGGCCUGCAGGUAAGUCAGUCCCGAACUUCAAUAAACACUAAGAAUCAGAUUCA